AAUGGGUCAGCGACUUAUAUUCUGUAGCAAGGUUAACCGAAUAGGGGAGCCGAAGGGAAACCGAGUCUUAACUGGGCGUUAAGUUGCAGGGUAUAGACCCGAAACCCGGUGAUCUAGCCAUGGGCAGGUUGAAGGUUGGGUAACACUAACUGGAGGACCGAACCGACUAAUGUUGAAAAAUUAGCGGAUGACUUGUGGCUGGGGGUGAAAGGCCAAUCAAACCGGGAGAUAGCUGGUUCUCCCCGAAAGCUAUUUAGGUAGCGCCUCGUGAAUUCAUCUCCGGGGGUAGAGCACUGUUUCGGCAAGGGGGUCAUCCCGACUUACCAACCCGAUGCAAACUGCGAAUACCGGAGAAUGUUAUCACGGGAGACACACGGCGGGUGCUAACGUCCGUCGUGAAGAGGGAAACAACCCAGACCGCCAGCUAAGGUCCCAAAGUCAUGGUUAAGUGGGAAACGAUGUGGGAAGGCCCAGACAGCCAGGAUGUUGGCUUAGAAGCAGCCAUCAUUUAAAGAAAGCGUAAUAGCUCACUGGUCGAGUCGGCCUGCGCGGAAGAUGUAACGGGGCUAAACCAUGCACCGAAGCUGCGGCAGCGACACUAUGUGUUGUUGGGUAGGGGAGCGUUCUGUAAGCCUGUGAAGGUGUACUGUGAGGUAUGCUGGAGGUAUCAGAAGUGCGAAUGCUGACAUAAGUAACGAUAAAGCGGGUGAAAAGCCCGCUCGCCGGAAGACCAAGGGUUCCUGUCCAACGUUAAUCGGGGCAGGGUGAGUCGACCCCUAAGGCGAGGCCGAAAGGCGUAGUCGAUGGGAAACAGGUUAAUAUUCCUGUACUUGGUGUUACUGCGAAGGGGGGACGGAGAAGGCUAUGUUGGCCGGGCGACGGUUGUCCCGGUUUAAGCGUGUAGGCUGGUUUUCCAGGCAAAUCCGGAAAAUCAAGGCUGAGGCGUGAUGACGAGGCACUACGGUGCUGAAGCAACAAAUGCCCUGCUUCCAGGAAAAGCCUCUAAGCAUCAGGUAACAUCAAAUCGUACCCCAAACCGACACAGGUGGUCAGGUAGAGAAUACCAAGGCGCUUGAGAGAACUCGGGUGAAGGAACUAGGCAAAAUGGUGCCGUAACUUCGGGAGAAGGCACGCUGAUAUGUAGGUGAAGUCCCUCGCGGAUGGAGCUGAAAUCAGUCGAAGAUACCAGCUGGCUGCAACUGUUUAUUAAAAACACAGCACUGUGCAAACACGAAAGUGGACGUAUACGGUGUGACGCCUGCCCGGUGCCGGAAGGUUAAUUGAUGGGGUCAGCGCAAGCGAAGCUCUUGAUCGAAGCCCCGGUAAACGGCGGCCGUAACUAUAACGGUCCUAAGGUAGCGAAAUUCCUUGUCGGGUAAGUUCCGACCUGCACGAAUGGCGUAAUGAUGGCCAGGCUGUCUCCACCCGAGACUCAGUGAAAUUGAACUCGCUGUGAAGAUGCAGUGUACCCGCGGCAAGACGGAAAGACCCCGUGAACCUUUACUAUAGCUUGACACUGAACAUUGAGCCUUGAUGUGUAGGAUAGGUGGGAGGCUUAGAAGUGUGGACGCCAGUCUGCAUGGAGCCGACCUUGAAAUACCACCCUUUAAUGUUUGAUGUUCUAACGUUGACCCGUAAUC
This 1640-nucleotide ribosomal RNA is filed under the name Escherichia coli. Its description in RNAcentral is "partial 23S ribosomal RNA". It matches the Rfam family "Bacterial large subunit ribosomal RNA", at positions 614 to 2240 of the family's 2925-position model. Lineage: Bacteria; Pseudomonadati; Pseudomonadota; Gammaproteobacteria; Enterobacterales; Enterobacteriaceae. The record is from RNAcentral.